Alphaproteobacteria bacterium MedPE-SWcel is the source of this 233-nucleotide non-coding RNA. NCBI's taxonomy places the organism in Bacteria, Pseudomonadati, Pseudomonadota, Alphaproteobacteria. The record is from Rfam.
ACACAGAGAAAUGCAUUUGGUGUCCGUGGUGUGCUUGAGCGCCCGGGACUGAAACGGGAAUGAGGAACGGCGGACCCAAUCGCGGCGCCGAAGCCUCAACCGCCCCCGCGACUGUGAGCGGCGAGCGGCCUUUCGACACCCACUGAGCGCGCCCCGACCGGGGGGCGUUUGGGAAGGGGAAAGGUCCGCAUCGACCCGCGAGUCAGGAGACCGGCCAGAUGCGUCACAUAUCA